GAACGGUUGGCUCAGUGGAAAGAGCGUUCGCACGUAACGCGAGAUGUCGCGGGUUCGAAUCACGCAUCGUUCA
This is a non-coding RNA of Leptidea sinapis, 73 nucleotides long. NCBI's taxonomy places the organism in Eukaryota, Metazoa, Arthropoda, Insecta, Lepidoptera, Pieridae. The record is from the annotation of a RefSeq genome assembly.